CCUGGUGGCUCAGAGGGUAAAGCGUCUGCCUGCAAUCCAGGAGACCUGGGUUCGAUCCCUGGGUCAGGA
Molecule: transfer RNA, 69 nt
Filed under: Bos taurus (domestic cattle)
Lineage: Eukaryota; Metazoa; Chordata; Mammalia; Artiodactyla; Bovidae
Also listed under: 4 other names
Rfam family: tRNA
About the family: Transfer RNA (tRNA) molecules are approximately 80 nucleotides in length. Their secondary structure includes four short double-helical elements and three loops (D, anti-codon, and T loops).
Source: Rfam by way of RNAcentral